AGUGCAUUUUAGCUGGGGUGGGCCAAUGGGAAGGAUCCGGCCUCUGACUGAGGCCAGGGUAGGGAGGGGGCACUGCUCCAGCCCUCAGGUGGUUCAGAACUGUCUCUGGGACGGCGGACCGCACCACCAUUGCCCGCACCACCAUCGCCAGCACCACCAUCGCCCGCACCACCAUCGCCCGCACCACCAUCGCCCGCACCACCAUCGCCCGCACCACCAUCGCCCGCACCAAUGCUGCAACGCGGACAGGACGGCUGGAAAAUCUGAGUUCUCCUGUGCCUUCUGGUCCAGACCCUGUUCCUGGCAGGCACCCCUCUCUUGCAUCCUUGAGAGGAGGUGCCACAUCUGAGACUGUUCCAGGGUCUGCGACUCUUCCUCAAAGAGGGACACGGUGCUACGUUUCAGGGUACCCUCAGGCGUGGCUUUGGAACACAAAAAGGGUCAGGAUGAAGUUGGAGAGUUCCAGCCUUAGUUUCUGUUCCUCUUCUUGCUCGUCACUGUGACGUUCCUUGAAGAGGGCACACGUGUUCAUUCCACG
Molecule: long non-coding RNA, 538 nt
Organism: Myotis myotis
Lineage: Eukaryota; Metazoa; Chordata; Mammalia; Chiroptera; Vespertilionidae
Exons: 3
Source: RefSeq, a predicted model, not a curated record